UACGUAGGGUGCAGGCGUUAAUCGGAAUUACUGGGCGUAAAGCGUGCGCAGGCGGUCUGCUAAGAGAGAUGUGAAAUCCCCGGGCUUAACCUGGGAACUGCGUUUCUAACUGGCAGGCUUGAGUGUGGCAGAGGGGGGUGGAAUUCCACGUGUAGCAGUGAAAUGCGUAGAGAUGUGGAGGAACACCGAUGGCGAAGGCAGCCCCCUGGGCUAACACUGACGCUCAUGCACGAAAGCGUGGGGAGCGAACCGG
RNAcentral lists this ribosomal RNA (253 nucleotides) under uncultured bacterium. Its description in RNAcentral is "partial 16S ribosomal RNA". It matches the Rfam family "Bacterial small subunit ribosomal RNA", at positions 524 to 776 of the family's 1533-position model. The record is from RNAcentral.